AACCAUAGAAACCUGCGGAGUACCUGCGGAGGGAUCAUUAUAGUAUAUGGAAUCUCCAUUCUAUAAACCCACUCUGCGUAUCUUGUAACUGUUGCUUCCAUGGGACUUGGUUCCGCCACACCGGCUUCACGGCCGGUGAGCGCCCAUGGAAGGAGAAACAAAACUCUUCUUUGAAAUGUAGUCAGUCUGAACAAGUUUUUAUAAACGUUAAAACUUUCAGCAAUGGAUCUCAGAUCGGAA
This 240-nucleotide unclassified non-coding RNA is filed under the name soil metagenome. RNAcentral describes it as "partial contains 5.8S ribosomal RNA, internal transcribed spacer 2, and large subunit ribosomal RNA". The record is from RNAcentral.